ACAAUAAAGAUACUCUAUUCUAGUCUACUCCAAGAAAGGAAACCCGGGGAGAUAUUAUAUUCCACUUUGCCCUUUUAAGGAUAUGCUAAAUUAUUGAAAUAUAAUUUUUAUGUGUCAAAAGAGGGAUUAUCUAUAGAUUAUUCAUAGAUUAGUGUUUAAAAAAAGAAUGAAACUAAUGAAUGUCUCAGUCUCAUUGCAGCAGGAGUCUGAUCAAACAACAUCAGGGGUGGCUCAAUAAGAAAACCUGGUCCAGUUCAAGGUGAGAAGAAUCAUAUCAAGCUCACCUGAACAGACUGACAGCUCUAAGACUCAAGAAAAAGGCUCCUGGUUCCACAUGACGCUCAGUAAGAAGGCCCAACAGGUGAAGUGUAAGUUCCUGGACCCAUGACCUCUGAGAGGGCUAAGAGGAGAAACAACAGAGCUGUGUCCAAAUUCAGGGGCCGCAUCCUUUGAUGGACCCGUCCUACGCAGAUCGGGUCCCUCGCGGCCCCCGAAGACCGCAAAGGCCGGAAGUGAGCGGCUGUGAAAUUGGACAGUCUGGGGUGUGUGUACCUGAGAUCAUACCUGAGACAUUAUGCGCCUUUCACAGGAAACAAACCAGGAUGACUGCCAUAUAGCACUCACCUCUGUGGUGAUGAAAUGUUUUGAGAGACUCAUCAAGACAUUCAUCACCUCCUCACUGCCCACCACCCUCGA
Molecule: long non-coding RNA, 696 nt
Organism: Archocentrus centrarchus (flier cichlid)
Lineage: Eukaryota; Metazoa; Chordata; Actinopteri; Cichliformes; Cichlidae
Exons: 3
Source: RefSeq, a predicted model, not a curated record